AAAAGAACCCCGGCGAGGGGAGUGAAAAAGAACCUGAAACCGUGUACGUACAAGCAGUGGGAGCACCUUCGGGUGUGACUGCGUACCUUUUGUAUAAUGGGUCAGCGACUUAUAUUCUGUAGCAAGGUUAACCGUAUAGGGGAGCCGCAGGGAAACCGAGUCUUAACUGGGCGUUAAGUUGCAGGGUAUAGACCCGAAACCCGGUGAUCUAGCCAUGGGCAGGUUGAAGGUUGGGUAACACUAACUGGAGGACCGAACCGACUAAUGUUGAAAAAUUAGCGGAUGACUUGUGGCUGGGGGUGAAAGGCCAAUCAAACCGGGAGAUAGCUGGUUCUCCCCGAAAGCUAUUUAGGUAGCGCCUCGUGAACUCAUCUUCGGGGGUAGAGCACUGUUUCGGCUAGGGGGUCAUCCCGACUUACCAACCCGAUGCAAACUACGAAUACCGAAGAAUGUUAUCACGGGAGACACACGGCGGGUGCUAACGUCCGUCGUGAAGAGGGAAACAACCCAGACCGCCAGCUAAGGUCCCAAAGUCAUGGUUAAGUGGGAAACGAUGUGGGAAGGCACAGACAGCCAGGAUGUUGGCUUAGAAGCAGCCAUCAUUUAAAGAAAGCGUAAUAGCUCACUGGUCGAGUCGGCCUGCGCGGAAGAUGUAACGGGGCUAAACCAUGCACCGAAGCUGCGGCAGCGACACUAUGUGUUGUUGGGUAGGGGAGCG
RNAcentral lists this ribosomal RNA (718 nucleotides) under Klebsiella pneumoniae. RNAcentral describes it as "partial 23S ribosomal RNA". It matches the Rfam family "Bacterial large subunit ribosomal RNA", at positions 517 to 1238 of the family's 2925-position model. RNAcentral also lists the same sequence under 1 other name. The record is from RNAcentral. Lineage: Bacteria; Pseudomonadati; Pseudomonadota; Gammaproteobacteria; Enterobacterales; Enterobacteriaceae.